AAUUUUCGACAAUGGGGGCAACCCUGAUCCAGCCAUCCCGCGUGUCUGAUGAAGGCCUUCGGGUUGUUAAGCACUGUUGGCAGAGAAGAAAAUGUACCUCCUAAUACGAGGUACUGCUGCGGGCAUCUGCAGAAUAAGCGCCGGCUAACUACGUGCCCGCAGCCGCGGUAAUACGGAGGGUGCAAGCGUUAAUCGGAAUUACUGGGCGUAAAACGGGUAUAGGCGGUUCGGAAUAAAAGAUGUGAAAUCCCAGGGGGAAUCCUUGGACAUGCAUUAUUACCUGGCGAGCUACGGGAUGUCAGAGGGGGGUAGAAUUCCACGUAUAGCAGUGAAAUGCGUAGUUGUGUUGAGGAAUACCGCUGGCGAAGGCAGCCCCCUGCCAUAAUACUGACGCUCAGACACGAAAACGUGGGGAGCAAAC
RNAcentral lists this ribosomal RNA (421 nucleotides) under uncultured bacterium. RNAcentral describes it as "partial 16S ribosomal RNA". It matches the Rfam family "Bacterial small subunit ribosomal RNA", at positions 360 to 773 of the family's 1533-position model. The record is from RNAcentral.